RNA transcript from Gorilla gorilla gorilla (western lowland gorilla), 651 nucleotides. RefSeq lists it as uncharacterized. The record is from RefSeq and is a predicted model, not a curated record. The transcript is spliced from 4 exons. NCBI's taxonomy places the organism in Eukaryota, Metazoa, Chordata, Mammalia, Primates, Hominidae.
AUGGCUCUAGUGCAGGUGCUGGUGCCCAGAGAAAGAGAGCCAAAGCUGUCCAUUUUGCAGAUGGACAGACGGGACCCACAACACAGCUCACACUGGUGCCCAGAGAGAGAAAGAGUUAAGCUGCUGACCCUGAAGCCAAGGGAAACAUCCAAAAAUAUCCUUAUAAACUUCUACAGAGCCUUUAACUUAGAUAAGGAUGUGUUCAUACACCAGGCCAACCACCCACUAACAGUGCCGUCUAGUGUGGUGAUGGGUGAUAACGGCCAUACCUUGGCAGAAGAUGACAAAAGACUUUGCUUUAGGGUACUACCUUGCUAUCUGGAACGUGUUUCCAGUGGAAUCUCUUUCCUGGAUCUCAGCCCCUCUACCUGUGGGAGCAAUGAAACACCAGCUUCUAUGUGACUUAAUGGAUCUUAUCACGCUUUCUUUCUGGUUAGCAGGUCAGUGCAUGAGCCUUAAAGCUACCAACAUGAAACACUGCAAGUGUUCAAUAGCCACAAGUGACUGGCCAUUGAAUUGGACCGCACUGAUCACAAAACACUUCCAUCAGAAUAUUCCAUCCUAGCACUACUCCAGGUCUUUGUAGGGAAAAACUGUAUGGAUCAUGUUCUACUUCAUGUGGAUGUGAACUACUUGAAGUCCCUGCCCUGA